Molecule: unclassified non-coding RNA, 224 nt
Filed under: Hevea brasiliensis (rubber tree)
Lineage: Eukaryota; Viridiplantae; Streptophyta; Magnoliopsida; Malpighiales; Euphorbiaceae
Source: RNAcentral
UGGAAGAUUUAGUGAGGUGGUACAACAGUUUGGUAUACAAAAGAGCAAUUCUGAUCAUUUUGUAUUUUUUAAGCAUUCUGAAAGUGGUCUAAUCUUACUUGUGAUAUAUGUUGAUGACAUUGUCAUUACUGGACGUGACUCUGCUGGCAUUUCAUUGCUUAAGUCAUUUCUUCAGACUCAAUUUUAAACAAAAGAUUUGGGUUUAUUAAAAUAUUUUUUGGGCA